Magnolia sinica is the source of this 1554-nucleotide RNA transcript. RefSeq lists it as uncharacterized. The transcript has 11 exons. NCBI's taxonomy places the organism in Eukaryota, Viridiplantae, Streptophyta, Magnoliopsida, Magnoliales, Magnoliaceae. The record is from RefSeq and is a predicted model, not a curated record.
GCGCAGUCCUCUAAAACAAGAAAAAAGAAAAAAGAAAAAAAGAAACGAAAAGAAAAGAAAGUAAAAAACAGUAUAAUCUGAAGCAGUCGCCGGGAGGCAUAGAGACAGUGGGGCUUGCCGGCUAGGGUCCGGAAGGGAGAGAGAUAGUUGAGAAGGGAGAGAGAUAGUGGAGCUCGCCGGAAAGAGAUAGUCGUAGUCGUCAUCUUGAAAUUUCUAGGUUUUCGAUCUUUGAUGCUUUGAACCUUCUUCUUCUUAAUUUCGUAGAGCCAUGGCUGCACCUUUCUUCUCCACGCCUUUCCAGCCUUUCAUCUACCAGAGUCCGGAAGCAGCUUUUAUACCUUUCCAAAUAUUGGGUGGAGAAGCUCAAAUAGUUCAGAUAAUGUUAAAGUCCCAAGAGAGGGUUACUGCAAAGCCUGGUUCCAUGUGCUACAUGUCUGGGUCUAUUCAAAUGGAGAAUAUUUAUGUCCCUGAAAAUGGAGGCAUGUGGCAGUGGCUUUUUGGAAGGAGCAUGACUAGCAUAGCUCUUCUCAAUCCUGGUCCGCAUGAUGGAUUUGUUGGAAUUGCUGCACCAUCUCUCGCGAGAAUAAUCCCGAUUGACCUGGCAACCUUUGGUGGAGAGAUUUUAUGCCAGCCAGAUGCGUUUCUUUGCUCUGUCAAUGAUGUUACAAUUACCAGCACAAUUGAUCAGAGAGCCCGUAAUGUCGUGGCAGGUGGAGAGGUGAGAAUCUUGGGAAUUCUAAAGCAAAAGCUUGUUGGUCGAGGGCUCGCGUUCUUAGUUGCUGGUGGAUCUGUUGUGCAAAAGAAUCUUGACGUGGGAGAAGUGCUGGUUGUCGAUGCAUCCUGCAUUGUUGCAAUGACGGGUACAGUUGAUUUCCAAGUCAAAUACUCUGGUCCCAUGAGACGGGUUGUCUUUGGGUUUGCAUUAACAUGGAUGGAUGGCUUCCCUGCACAGAAUCCAACAUGGCACACCUGUAAGAGAUCUGGAAUGUUCAUCAGUUUGGUUGCACUGAUCAUGCCCUGGCCAAGAAAUCAGACUGGUGCACAAAUCAGGGUGACAAUCUUUUGACGGCUGUUCUAACGGGACCUGGCAUUGUCUUCGUUCAGAGCUUACCCUUCCAUCGAUUUUCUCAGCGAGUUGCAAGAGCUGUCACAUCGCCAAGCAUGAGGGAAAAUCCAAAAUUCUUCAUUCAGAUUGUGAUAUUCUUUUUUCUUGCUUAUGUUAUGAUUGUAUCAUCAUUGAUCUUAACUGAUGUUUGAAUUUCAUGACUUUCAGUUCCUUUUCCUGCACUUUUCAAACCCAAUUUCCAUUCUUUUGCCUUCCAUUAGUUGCAAAUCUGAUUUCCUUUACGCAGUUAGUUAGAAAGAGGUCUCAUAUUUGGUUUAAGUUUUGAAGUAGCAGAGGAGAAAUGCCGCAAAAUUUUCUAUUCAGGGAAGUUGGUGAUUUUGUUAUCUAAAAUGUGAACAUGACAUGUGACAUUUGCUCUGACUAUAUGAUAUUUCACUGCUAUCUCUCUAGUUGAUAUGAGAAAAGAAUGAUUAGUAAUCCUUUACUCA